GUUUAACUUAAAGUAUAGCCUGCCUAACCUGGUUGCCUUAAAAUUUGAGUCCAUUUAAACUAAAAAAUUGAGUUGAUACAAAGAAAGAGAUUAGUUUAUUCAACAGAAAAUAGGGAAUGGUUUAAUAUAGGGCAGAUUAAACAUAUUGCCAGUCUAGGCACUAUUGCCAGUCCCAAACCCACACACACACAAACAUCUACACCCCACCCACCACCACCACCACCACCCCCCAAGAGGGAGUAUUGGCACUUUAUUUUCUCUACUUCAAGCACUGGACGUGCUGUCAGACACAGCUAAUAAUGGAUUUGGAACACAUUUAUCAAAAUGUUGAACUCAGAGAUAUUAAGGACAAAUUUGGACCUCGAACACAGAAUAAAAGUCAGGAUGAAGGAAAAGAUGAAAAGCGCAGUAAGCAGAAAAUUACUUUAAACAAAAAAUGGUGUCAUUAUGUUUGAGGAAAUUGUUUGAGGAAUUGUUACAUACAUGUUUCAUUCUUUCUUUAUACUGUAAAACGAUCUACAGCAUUAUCUAAAACAAAGGUAGAUUACCUAGAAAGGUUGAUUUGAAACUUCAUUUCUAAUAAUAUUAAGAGUAUUCACUGAUAUUUGUGUUUUUGUCCUGUUUUUUUCAGAAGGAAGAUGUUUAAUGUUGAUUACAGCGUGUCUCGGGGUCAUUUGUGUUCUUCUGCUGGUCUUCAUCAUACUGCAGCACAUCAACCUCACAACUGAGAGAGACCUGUUAAAGAGUUACAAGAACACAGCUGAAGAGUUCAAUCAGACUAUCAACAGCUUACAGGACAAUUACACUGAUCUAAAGAUUGAAAAAAACCAACUGCAGAACAACUUCACCUCUUUGAGUCAAAAGAAAUUACAGCUGGAGCUUGAACUAAGGAAGUUAUAUGAACAAGGAUCUUCAGGUCUGGAGUCCAGAAUAAGGAUUGGAGACAAAGUCCGCGUGAAGACGUCUGUUGUUACUCCAACACACAAAUGGGGAGCAGUCACUCACAAAAGCAUUGGUGUUGUUAAAAAAGUUCAGGGUGAGUCUUUGACUAUUGAUUUCCCUGAGCAUAAAAACUGGAAUGGUAUAAUUUCAGAAAUGGAGCUUGUGACCGGCACUUGUACAGUUGACAUCAAGGUUGGAGACAGUGUCAGAGUGAAACCUUCCAUAACUACACCAAAAUAUGAAUGGGGCAGAGCCACACACAAGAGUGUGGGUGUGGUAAAAGGCAAGAUCUGUGUAUUAUUCUCAUAGACAGAACAAACUUAAGGAGAUAUAAACUGCUUUCAUAUUUUAACAUUCACAGUACAUUCACAUUUAGUAUACAAGGAGUUGCUCUUGGAAAAAAUGUAUUGUAAGUAGGUUUGUCCUCUGAUCUGGCUAGAAAUCAGUGUGAUUGUGGAUUUCCCAGAACACAAAGGCUGGAAAGGGAUUCUUUCUGAAAUGGAAUUGACAGAUGAUUCAGGCUGACGUUUCAGGAUCUUCAUGAUGAUGUGACUGAAGUUCCCUGGUCACAGAAACUUGCCUGUCUUUUUUCUUUUUCUUUUUUUUUUUUUUUGUGUGUGUAAGUUUGUAGUCAUGUGUCUCUUUUAGAUAAUUCAUUUUUGUUCAGAUCUGCCCCCCCCCCCCCCUUUUUUUUUUUUUUUAACUGUUCUUCAC
Molecule: RNA transcript, 1656 nt
Organism: Megalobrama amblycephala (Wuchang bream)
Lineage: Eukaryota; Metazoa; Chordata; Actinopteri; Cypriniformes; Xenocyprididae
Exons: 5
Source: RefSeq, a predicted model, not a curated record